Molecule: ribosomal RNA, 143 nt
Filed under: Desulfobacula phenolica
Lineage: Bacteria; Pseudomonadati; Thermodesulfobacteriota; Desulfobacteria; Desulfobacterales; Desulfobacteraceae
Description: 16S rRNA. Bacterial SSU
Rfam family: Bacterial small subunit ribosomal RNA
Source: RNAcentral
UAUAACUGGAGAGUUUGAUCCUGGCUCAGAAUGAACGCUGGCGGCGUGCUUAACACAUGCAAGUCGAACGAGAAAGGGAUUGCUUGCAAUCCUGAGUAGAGUGGCGCACGGGUGAGUAACACGUAGAUAAUCUACCUUCAAGC